UACUAGACAUGACAUUUAUGUCUAUACAACAUUAUAUUAUUCUAUUUUCCAUCUCUGUGUCUUUACAGGUUGUCUCUUGAAGUCUGCUUUCCUGAUUAGUGAGUUCCCAAUAUGGAUUUACAUUUCUGAGAGGCCCUAAGCAUGCUGCUCACUUCUCUCCUAGUUCAAUUUAUUCUCUGGACCUCCCUACCAAUUGCCAAGUACUCUCCUCCUUUCCUGCACCUACUCCCCAUAAGCUGUUGGAGGGCCACCUAAGAGGACUGAGAAGACGGAGUUUGUCAGCUGUAAGUAUAGGGGCCAUUGUCCACACUGCCUUCCUGCAGCUGCCCACCUCAGUGACAAGUCAUAUUGUCUACCCUCAAAAAACCAUUGUGAGAACCUGGCUGACUUUAAACACAAAAUUCCUUCACAGUAUUGAAAAUAAGAGUUUGUUUGACAAAACAUGUAACAUAAACCUUUUGAGGAAUACCUGUUACAAAAAGUGGGCUAUCCUUGCAUAUUAUAAAUGUAAGACCAUAUUCAACUUCUUCAGAACAGGAUGGUAGAAAAAUCUUGAUUCCACAUUCCAUAUCCUUCCCUGCUUCCCUUAUCCCAACUUGGUAUCACACACCUGGUUUUCUUGAUCCAUUUCUGGGGUUGUGACAUAUUCCUGUCCGAAGUUAACGCUUUUAAUGGGCUAAAGUUCAUUAAUCUUCCAAUCUAGCAAAACAUUUUAUUCCUGCCAACCUCUAGUGACAAGAACAGAAGGAAAAAUGUACUUUAGAAUGAGUCAGCCAUCUUUAGAUAUCUCACUAGCUGUUUAUAAAACCCUCUAUAGCCUGGCGGUCUAAGAGAUGCUCUUCAGACUAAGUAAUAUGAAAGGGAAUCUCAUGGCAAUGAGAUUCUUACCAUAUAUAUUUGUUUUUGACUUUAUGUGAACAGUCUUAAAUGAGCCCCCA
This 938-nucleotide long non-coding RNA is filed under the name Phascolarctos cinereus (koala). RNAcentral describes it as "lncRNA (ENSPCIG00000036664.1)". The record is from RNAcentral. Lineage: Eukaryota; Metazoa; Chordata; Mammalia; Diprotodontia; Phascolarctidae.